GAUUCUCCUGCUCCAGGCUCUCAAGUAGCUGAGAUUACAGACUAACGAUCUUCUGUUGGUCCCUUCUGGUAGGGCCGAGGAGACCCCAGCAUCACGAAUUAAUUUGGGAUUACAGCCAAGCAAGUUUAAUGUUUCGAAAUAUCAUACACAAUGCAGCUGAGCGCCAAUUUUAUUCCCUGGGUUAGUACUAAUCAGCAAAAUGUACGUAAGGGCCUCAAGAACAGACUGCCCUGAACGUUCCUGUGUGUUGCUCCAGGUACCACCUACUCAUCCUCCAAUAUCCAGCUGGCACCUCCUCUGGGAAGACUUCCUGGAUAUUUCAGGUUGAUUUAGCAGCAUGCUAUGUGUAUCACACUGAAAUGGCCUACAUCCAGAAGCUGACACAUGGUAAAGAAUUAAAAGUUUCUUGAAAGAAUGCAUUAAUGCAACUUAUUUUCUGCUUCUAUUGUUUUUCUUGUAGUAUACCAACUAGGACACUUUUUGAAGAAACUGCAAUUCUUCUCAGCAUUCAAUUCUGUCCAGUGGCAAAGGUGAUCAGGAGAUUCAAAGUAGUAAAAAUAAUCCCCAAAGUAGUGCUACCACUAGGCCCUGGAAACCAACCUCACAUACUAAAGACAGACUGAAGAUCUGCAUUGAGCUAAGCCCUAAUUAUGUUCAGUGUUCUUAACUUUGAAUCUAGACUCCCAGGCUUUGUACUAUGCCGUAACCAAUUGGGCAACUAAAUGAUGACCGGUACAGCACAGCUGCUAAGAUCACAGACUAAUCCAAACUGCCCGGGUCUGUACCUUGCUUCAGCCACUGUCUAGCUGUGUGUCUUGGGCAAGUUAGUUAAUCCCUUUAUGCCUCAGUUUGCUUAUCUGUAAGAUGGGAACAAUAUUAACAGUACUGACCUCAUAGAAUAAAUGAUUUCAC
Molecule: long non-coding RNA, 912 nt
Filed under: Homo sapiens (human)
Lineage: Eukaryota; Metazoa; Chordata; Mammalia; Primates; Hominidae
Description: HSALNT0339774
Source: RNAcentral